CAAAGCAGCCUAGCGCAAGGGAUGUUCCUGGCGGGCGCUGGCGGGCGCGGCGCGUACGCCGGCGCGGCGCUGCAGGGCCCGCUGGCGUACCUCGAGAAAACUGCCACUAACAUAGAUAUGGUGGGGCUGGGCGACGGACGCAGGUGACGCGGUCGCGGGAGGGGCAGGGGGCGCGGCCGCGGCAGAGGACGCGGGCGAGGCGCAUCCCCCGAGUAUGGCGGCAGCAUGACGCCGCCGUAGCGCCCCCUCCCGGCGCGGCGGCGACAACGCACACUCGCUUGACAUCACCUCGCUAUGUUGGCUAACCUGUUUUAUGUUUUUUUUUUUAUAAUUGUGAUCGGAGCCAUAAAGUUUGGAGGAAUCCGGCGAUAGGAUAUACAUAUAGAUGAUCAAGCAGGCUUGCCGCCUUUUUCUACUGACAAGAAUUGGUUGACCCACUAUAAUUAAUAACCCAUUUUAUAGUGUAUUUUUUUUUGACAAAAUGACUUAGAUACCAGCUCUUAAACCUAGAGCCUCCAAUCUUUUUUACUCGAGCGCUAAAGGCAAAGGGGCUAACGUGAAAAUCGGAUCAAUAUCAAUAUCGGAUCUUGUACAUUCGAGCGAUAGAGAGGCAUUUUUUUUCUUUUUUUUUCAAUAGACGAAUGAAAUUGUUAGCGUUUAUUCUAGUCUGCCUUUUCGCAGGCCGGUACAAUCCUUUGGCUCUCCUGACGGGCGAUGGCCUACUGCCCAUCUUCCCAAAAAAUCUAUUAUUUUAGACACGUAUUAAUUAAGUUUAUGAGUUUAUGAUCACAAUUAACACCCCAGUUAACCACAAAAUAUGUGGAAAGACCGUUUCAUUAUAGCCAUCGGCAAAAGCUCAUUUUUGACGUGAUAACGUCUUAUAAAUCGAUGAACACCGGUAGCAUGCACGAAAAAAUGUCACGUUGUGGACAAAUCUCCAUGGUAACGCUGUGGACAGAUCUCCAUGGUAACGUUACGGCCAAAGUAUGCAAUUUUUCAUCAAUGUUCUAUUGUUACGUUAUCACGCAAAAUUAUAUCGUCCGUAAACCGACUUUACAGACAACCAUAUUUUUUUACAACUAGCGAGGUCAUGUAAAGCGUUCAUCUCAUUCCAAAUCACUACUUAUAUUAUAAUCAGAUAUAUUAUAAACUGUAUAAAUACCUAUGCAACGGAACCGCACUGUACUUACAAUUUAUUUUUACGGUGUUGGCAUAUUUAAAAAAAUGGCUAUUUAAGACCCGUGGGGUUAUUUGGAAACGCAUUGAAUGUUAAUACCGUAAAACGGGGUGACUUGAACUCUUCGACUUUUCUUUAUUUUGUUAUUAACAGUUUACCAAAACCUAUCAAGCUAACUAGGUAAGAAUUAUAGCUAACUAAAACUAAUAAUGAUCGAGUACGGUUUUUAACUGACAAGCGUACGAGUAUCUCUACAUACGCUGAUAAAAAAGUAAAAUAGCAUCGGGUAAAUCGAACGUAAUGUCACGUGACCGUUUCUAUACAUUACAGUUAAAAUUUGUUUUAUCCUUUUCUUACAUUACAUAAGCCAAAGUGACAGAUAAGGACAUACUAUUAUUAGCUAAUUGCGGUUUGUGGCGCGUUUAUGAAUAAGAACCAGUCCCGACUGGUGUUUUUAAUAAACGAUUUUGAAACGGAGUAGCUCCUUAUUUUAAAUAAAAUCACCCCGAAUCCGGUAGGUACCAUUUGUAACGCUAAUUUCGUUUCAAAUAACCCCAGGGGAGGGGUCACAUUCUCAACCACACAUUUAAAAAUAUUCGUCGCUGCGACAAGUUAUAAUUUUAUACACUUCACAACAGCUGCAGUGUCUUCUAAAAAGUAUUUUAAGUUCAUAUUUUUUAAAUUAUUGCUACUAUAUAUAAAAACUGUCGUAUCACUUCGAGAUUAUUUGCCUAAUGGGUAAAUUAUAAGUCGCAAUGUUUAACAGAAUAUAACUAUUCCUUGCACAUAGUUACACUUAUGAUUAUAACCAAUGAGCUAACUAUUACUGAAUUUCCGGCAUUAUUAAGAUGCAAUAAAUGUCCUGUGCAUAAUCACUUGUAUAAAAUAGGAUUAAGACAUGUAAAAUGAGGUGAGUUAGCCAACGAAUUACUUACCUUUUAUUCAAUUUGUACACCCGUAUUUAUUAUUAUUUUCCGAGAUCGAAUAACUGAAUGUAAUGAAGAAAAUAUUUAUUAAGUAUAAUACUUUUAAGACUAGCUAGGUGUCUAAGUAGCCCCGUUUAUAAUAAUGGCUAAUGUCACCCCAUUUUACAGAAGCAGCAACAAAUAAUAAUUAUAAAUGUCGCAGCCAUUUGGUUAAGUUAGCGAACUAAUUAGUCGCCUAGGCCGAUAGAAAAUCAACAACUUGGCGUAUUGGAAACCAGCUCUUUGAAAAGAUUGGUUCAUUCAGCUAAGUGAUUUAAAUGUAAUCUAAAAAACUUAAAGAAAUUAAAUAACAUAAAAUAAAAUAAUAAAAAAUACAUAAUUACAUUACACCUUGUAAAACAAAGUCCCUCGCCGCGUCUGUUUGUAUGUUCUCGAUAAACUCAUAAACUACUGACUAUUUUCGUGCGGUUUUCACCUAUCAAUAGAGUGAUUUUUGAGGAAGGUUUAAAUGUAUAAUUUGUCAGGGUCGCUAGUUUACAAUAAAAUAUUAACCAAAAUAACUAAGUAAAUGACUACACGACGUUCAGGCAUCUCGUUAAACGUUGCUAUCAAUGAUUUGGCUGGUUGUUCUUCAGCCAACUAAUUUAACCAGUUGGCUGCGACAUAAACAUAACAAUAAACUAAAUUAUCUAGUCCCAAAUACCUAUAAGUAGGUAAAAAGAAGAUUAUAUCGGUAAGGAUUGAUAAAACGUCAGGUAAAUCUGGGAAAGGCUAACCUACAUUUUUUUAGCAUUACAAAAAAGGUAAACAAUCUUGAUGUAUCUUUUAAUUGAAAAACACGUUUAAAAAUAAGUCACGGCCAGUGAAGGGAUGUCACGGCAAAUAUGUAACAAUUAUGAAUCUAAUACGAUCAUUUAUAUUCUUCUGCUUUCGUAAGUAAUAGUUACUGAUUUUUUUAAAAGCGUUUUUCAACUAAAAGUAUUGUCAAGAUCCCUUACCUUCUUUCUAAUGCUAAAAAAAGGAACAAUGUACGCUUAAGCAAUAUAUCAUGCACUCAUUCGAAUAAAUAUUAAUAUGAAAA
Cydia fagiglandana is the source of this 3184-nucleotide long non-coding RNA. RefSeq lists it as uncharacterized. The transcript has 3 exons. The record is from RefSeq and is a predicted model, not a curated record. NCBI's taxonomy places the organism in Eukaryota, Metazoa, Arthropoda, Insecta, Lepidoptera, Tortricidae.